CAGUCGCCGCGGGAAUACGUAGGUGGCAAGCGUUGUCCGGAAUUAUUGGGCGUAAAGGGCUCGCAGGCGGUUUCUUAAGUCUGAUGUGAAAGCCCCCGGCUCAACCGGGGAGGGUCAUUGGAAACUGGGAAACUUGAGUGCAGAAGAGGAGAGUGGAAUUCCACGUGUAGCGGUGAAAUGCGUAGAGAUGUGGAGGAACACCAGUGGCGAAGGCGACUCUCUGGUCUGUAACUGACGCUGAGGAGCGAAAGCGUGGGGAGCGAACAGGAUUAGAUACCCCAGUAGUCCCUGUCUCUUAUAC
This 301-nucleotide ribosomal RNA is filed under the name uncultured bacterium. RNAcentral's name for it is "partial 16S ribosomal RNA". It matches the Rfam family "Bacterial small subunit ribosomal RNA", at positions 509 to 807 of the family's 1533-position model. The record is from RNAcentral.